This 253-nucleotide ribosomal RNA is filed under the name uncultured bacterium. RNAcentral describes it as "partial 16S ribosomal RNA". It matches the Rfam family "Bacterial small subunit ribosomal RNA", at positions 524 to 776 of the family's 1533-position model. The record is from RNAcentral.
UACAGAGGUCCCAAGCGUUGUUCGGAUUCACUGGGCGUAAAGGGUGCGUAGGUGGCAGGAUAAGUUUGAUGUGAAAUCUCCGGGCUUAACCCGGAAACUGCAUUGAAUACUAUUUUGCUCGAGGGUUGGAGGGGGGACUGGAAUUCUCGGUGUAGCAGUGGAAUGCGUAGAGAUCGAGAGGAAGACCAGUGGCGAAGGCGAGGCCCUGGACAACUCCUGACACUGAGGCGCGAAAGCGAGGGGAGCAAACAGG